Molecule: non-coding RNA, 27 nt
Filed under: Mus musculus (house mouse)
Lineage: Eukaryota; Metazoa; Chordata; Mammalia; Rodentia; Muridae
Source: RNAcentral
UCAUACAUGCCACACCUAUGUCAGGGG